This 23-nucleotide non-coding RNA is filed under the name Cricetulus griseus (Chinese hamster). The record is from RNAcentral. Lineage: Eukaryota; Metazoa; Chordata; Mammalia; Rodentia; Cricetidae.
AGGAAGGUAGGUGAAGUGACUGG